CGGUGGAGCAUGUGUUUAAUUCGAAGCAACGCGCAGAACCUUACCAGGGUUUGACAUGGGAAUGCUUCAGCGAGAGAUCGCUGUUUCGUAGCAAUACGACAUUCUACACAGGUGCUGCAUGGCUGUCGUCAGCUCGUGUCGUGAGAUGUUGGGUUAAGUCCCGCAACGAGCGCAACCCUCGCCUUUAGUUGCCAGCAUUCAGUUGGGCACUCUAAAGGGACUGCCGGUGUCAAACCGGAGGAAGGUGGGAUGACGUCAAGUCCUCAUGGCCUUUAUGUCUAGGGCUACACACGUACUACAAUGGCAGGUACAAAGGGCAGCGACACAGCGAUGUGAUGCGAAUCCCGAAAAGCCUGUCUCAGUCCGGAUCGGAGUCUGCAACUCGACUCCGUGAAGUUGGAAUCGCUAGUAAUCGUGGAUCAGCAUGCCACGGUGAAUACGUUCCCGGGCCUU
RNAcentral lists this ribosomal RNA (453 nucleotides) under uncultured Desulfovibrio sp. RNAcentral's name for it is "bacterial SSU rRNA". It matches the Rfam family "Bacterial small subunit ribosomal RNA", at positions 930 to 1382 of the family's 1533-position model. The record is from RNAcentral. Lineage: Bacteria; Pseudomonadati; Thermodesulfobacteriota; Desulfovibrionia; Desulfovibrionales; Desulfovibrionaceae.